This 1004-nucleotide ribosomal RNA is filed under the name uncultured bacterium. Its description in RNAcentral is "bacterial SSU rRNA". It matches the Rfam family "Bacterial small subunit ribosomal RNA", at positions 28 to 1009 of the family's 1533-position model. The record is from RNAcentral.
AACGAACGCUGGCGGCGUGGAUAAGACAUGCAAGUCGGACGAGAUUUUCCGUUGUAGCAAUACGAUGGAAAGUCUAGUGGCGAACGGGUGCUUAACACGUGGGCAAUCUGUCUUAAAGUGGGGGAUAGCUCGGCGAAAGCCGAAUUAAUACCGCAUGUGAUUAGAGUGGACAUCCAUUCAAAAUUAAAGGUGGCGCAAGCUACCGCUUUUUGAGGAGCCCGCGGCCUAUCAGCUUGUUGGUGAGGUAACGGCUCACCAAGGCUUUGACGGGUAGCUGGUCUGAGAGGACGACCAGCCACACUGGGACUGAGACACGGCCCAGACACCUACGGGUGGCAGCAGUCGAGAAUUUUUCUCAAUGGCGGAAACCCUGAAGGAGCGACGCCGCGUGGAGGAUGAAGGUCUUCGGAUUGUAAACUCCUGUCAUUGGGGAACAAGUCGCUUACGUUAACUGCGUGAGCGUUGAUAGUACCCGAAGAGGAAGAGACGGCUAACUCUGUGCCAGCAGCCGCGGUAAUACAGAGGUCUCAAGCGUUGUUCGGAUUCAUUGGGCGUAAAGGGUGCGUAGGCGGCGCGGUAAGUCGGGUGUGAAAUCUUGGAGCUUAACUCCGAAACUGCAUUCGAUACUGCCGUGCUUGAGGACUGGAGAGGAGACUGGAAUUUACGGUGUAGCGGUGAAAUGCGUAGAUAUCGUAAGGAAGACCAGUGGCGAAGGCGGGUCUCUGGACAGUUCCUGACGCUGAGGCACGAAGGUCAGGGGAGCAAACGGGAUUAGAUACCCCGGUAGUCCUGACAGUAAACGGUGCACGUUUGGUGUGGGAGGAUUCGACCCCUUCUGCGCCGGAGCUAACGCGUUAAACGUGCCGCCUGGGAGUACGGUCGCAAGAUUAAAACUCAAAGAAAUUGACGGGGGCCCGCACAAGCGGUGGAGUAUGUGGCUCAAUUCGAUGCAACGCGAAGAACCUUACCUGGCCUUGACAUGCAUCUCUAAACUGGUGAAAGCC